Molecule: long non-coding RNA, 759 nt
Organism: Salvia miltiorrhiza (redroot sage)
Lineage: Eukaryota; Viridiplantae; Streptophyta; Magnoliopsida; Lamiales; Lamiaceae
Exons: 3
Source: RefSeq, a predicted model, not a curated record
GAGUUGAGAGUAUAUUAUGGAGAGAGUAAGGAUUGAUAGUGUAGAGAUUAGAGAGAGAUUAGAGUGAGAGAGAGAUCAAAGGCAUUAAUUGCCAAUAUUCUUUAAGAUUUGCAAAAUCUCUAUAAGAUCAUCUAAAUCUUGCAAAUCCAUUCAUAUCUCUCAAGCAACUCUCUCUCUCCUUCAUCCUCACCAAUCGGCCACCUCUCUCUCUCCUUUCUCUCUCAUAAUUCCUCCAUUGUCAACCAUUGGAGAGACCUCCGAAGCUUCACCAAAAUAUGCCAAACACAUAAAUCACCAACAAAAUUCCACCUAAACACCUCCUAUCAACUUGAAUCCAAGGAAAUCCUUGAAGAUUGGCUUCAAGACUAGUGAGAGAAAGUUUGUUUGUUGGUGAAAAACUUGAACACGAGCAGAGCAGGGAAGUAAGUAACUCCGCUUUGACGGGAGUUUUUGAGUAAGGUCUUCAGACUAAGCGAGGAGCGAGAUUGGUCUGGUGCUGGCGGGGAAAUGUUGGAGGAUGUAUUUACUUUAUCGUAUUUCCAUUUUGACGAUAAAGUCUUGAUGAUUGAUAUACUUUAAUUUUCUUUUGAAGUUAAGCAAUGUACUCACGGUUAUAUGUCUUCAUACAUAUAAUCGGUUCGCCUUUUGCUGCGAUACUCUGCAUAUUAUGAUUCCUUACGAAAAAUGAGCGAUACCCGUUUUGUUUUUGUUCGUGAAAUUCCUGAUAAUUAAAAAGUUAUAACGACAUUGACGAUUUUA